RNAcentral lists this non-coding RNA (29 nucleotides) under Rattus norvegicus (Norway rat). Lineage: Eukaryota; Metazoa; Chordata; Mammalia; Rodentia; Muridae. The record is from RNAcentral.
UGCACGUAACAUACAGAAUAUAUGCAGGC